UGUCUGGUGGGUAGUUUGACUGGGGCGGUCUCCUCCUAAAGAGUAACGGAGGAGCACGAAGGUUGGCUAAUCCUGGUCGGACAUCAGGAGGUUAGUGCAAUGGCAUAAGCCAGCUUGACUGCGAGCGUGACGGCGCGAGCAGGUGCGAAAGCAGGUCAUAGUGAUCCGGUGGUUCUGAAUGGAAGGGCCAUCGCUCAACGGAUAAAAGGUACUCCGGGGAUAACAGGCUGAUACCGCCCAAGAGUUCAUAUCGACGGCGGUGUUUGGCACCUCGAUGUCGGCUCAUCACAUCCUGGGGCUGAAGUAGGUCCCAAGGGUAUGGCUGUUCGCCAUUUAAAGUGGUACGCGAGCUGGGUUUAGAACGUCGUGAGACAGUUCGGUCCCUAUCUGCCGUGGGCGCUGGAGAACUGAGGGGGGCUGCUCCUAGUACGAGAGGACCGGAGUGGACGCAUCACUGGUGUUCGGGUUGUCAUGCCAAUGGCACUGCCCGGUAGCUAAAUGCGGAAGAGAUAAGUGCUGAAAGCAUCUAAGCACGAAACUUGCCCCGAGAUGAGUUCUCCCUGAGACUUUAGGUCUCCUGAAGGAACGUUGAAGACGACGACGUUGAUAGGCCGGGUGUGUAAGCGCAGCGAUGCGUUGAGCUAACCGGUACUAAUGAACCGUGAGGCUUAACCUUACA
RNAcentral lists this ribosomal RNA (679 nucleotides) under Salmonella enterica. Its description in RNAcentral is "partial 23S ribosomal RNA". It matches the Rfam family "Bacterial large subunit ribosomal RNA", at positions 2255 to 2925 of the family's 2925-position model. The record is from RNAcentral. Lineage: Bacteria; Pseudomonadati; Pseudomonadota; Gammaproteobacteria; Enterobacterales; Enterobacteriaceae. RNAcentral also lists the same sequence under 1 other name.